This 82-nucleotide transfer RNA is filed under the name Listeria monocytogenes. Its description in RNAcentral is "tRNA-Leu". The record is from RNAcentral. Lineage: Bacteria; Bacillati; Bacillota; Bacilli; Caryophanales; Listeriaceae.
GCGGGUGUGGCGGAAUUGGCAGACGCCCCAGAUUUAGGAACUGGCGCCGCGAGGCGUGGGGGGUCAAGACCCUUCACCCGCA